Long non-coding RNA from Salvia hispanica, 697 nucleotides. RefSeq lists it as uncharacterized. Lineage: Eukaryota; Viridiplantae; Streptophyta; Magnoliopsida; Lamiales; Lamiaceae. The record is from RefSeq and is a predicted model, not a curated record.
UCCUAGCAAAUUACUCUUGAUUUUCUAGGUGGGCUUUCUUGUUUGCUCGUUUAAUCAAGAAGGGUCCGUUUGUUGAAAUAAAAAGUUGAAAUCUUGGAGAUAUGUCUUGUUGUUUGAAGGCUGGAUGCUCUGUUUAUGGGUGUUUUAGGGUUUGUUCUUCAAUUCAGACUCUUCAUUUUAAGGAGUCAUCAAAUCCCAGAGAAUGUUUAGGCAAAACCCUUCAUUUGUUAGAUCAGAAACCUGCUAUCAAUUUUGUCAAUGCUGUGAGAUGGUGGGAUAUAAUUCCACAUCAGAAUAUGAUAAGAGACUGAAUCAGCUCAAGAACUUGUUGAUUCAUUGUUGUAUGGUGGUGAGAGAUAACUUGUAUUAGGUUUCUACUACCCUGCUUGUGGAGGUUGUAGAACUUUGCAUCCAAAGAUAUGUCAAUUUACUGAAAUGAACCCUAAUUCCCCUUUUCUCCAAAUUACAAGGAAAUGUGUGAUGCCCUCAAUAUCCAAGUGCUGCCCUUCUUUAGAAGCUGCACCAAUGCAACAGUGAGGGACCACGUUUUUCGUGCUUUUUUUAGUGAUUCUGGUGCUGCCCUUCAUAAUCUGUAAACACUUUAACCAAACAUAUUGUCCAUAAUCUGUAAACACUUUAACUAAACAUAGAUUGAACAUUAUCAUGGUCCAGUGAAAUCCUAUAAUGAGUAUUACCA